CGGCCGGAGCUGACCCAGUGGGCCACGGGCUCCGGACUCCAGAACUUUCCAAGCGGGGGCAACUUGGCGGCGGUAAUUUUUAUUUCUGUUUGCAGAUUGUUCCUGCCUGAUUCAUAAGCAUCGUGAUUGGCUUUUGAUUGCUGUCACGUCUAAUGUGGCUGCUGCCUCGUGUCACAUCUGAAACUCAUCUGUACCUCACUUAGAAAGGUAAAUACGUCUAUGCGGAACCCUCCAACUCCUGCCCCCCAGCGCUCCUGCCAUCAGUCAUGGCUCUGUAUUCUUAUUCUCUCCUCGCAUUACAGCACAAACCAGAGCCUUCGCCUCCUCCACAGUAGAGGGGCUUAUGUCCCAGAAAAGACUUUGUGAGAGAAUUUACAUUUGAGGAACUUCAGGCCUUGAGGGGGAAAAUAAAGUUGGGGGAUUAAGAUGUGGACUUAAUGAAAGCCUGUUUUUCACUCUAAAAAUUCAAGAGGACACACUAAGAACGAUCAUUGCUAUUUAUCUG
This 505-nucleotide small RNA is filed under the name Pan troglodytes (chimpanzee). Its description in RNAcentral is "processed transcript". The record is from RNAcentral. Lineage: Eukaryota; Metazoa; Chordata; Mammalia; Primates; Hominidae.